Eucalyptus grandis is the source of this 249-nucleotide long non-coding RNA. RefSeq lists it as uncharacterized. NCBI's taxonomy places the organism in Eukaryota, Viridiplantae, Streptophyta, Magnoliopsida, Myrtales, Myrtaceae. The transcript has 4 exons. The record is from RefSeq and is a predicted model, not a curated record.
CCAGAAAGACGCAAUACGUUGUUCUAUGGCUCGACAGAUCGAUAAUGGCAGCUUGAAGGUGGACAUGGCAUAGCCAUGGUCCACGAAAACAUCUCUUUCUUGGAUUGGCCCCACUCAGUCGGUAUGCCCAGGUUAAGACAUUGGAGAUGAGGAUGAAGAUAUAGGGUGAUAGUGGAUCCCCUUGUCUGAGUCCCCUCGAAGGAUGGAAGAGAGAACUGAUGCAGAACUUCCUGGACUAUGAAGAUAUUG